Molecule: long non-coding RNA, 2104 nt
Filed under: Homo sapiens (human)
Lineage: Eukaryota; Metazoa; Chordata; Mammalia; Primates; Hominidae
Description: HSALNT0307476
Source: RNAcentral
CUCCUCCUGUUGCUUUGAUUCCUUUUUCGCAAACUUUCUUAUGUUCUACGUAUCCAGGUGCUCCUGAUGGCCAGCAAUAGACUUGAGACAUUGGAAGAAUGUAUAGCCUUAGCGUCUAUUUAGUGUUAAGAUUUUGUAAGUCUAAUUACUGUGAAAUAGUCCUGGUAACUUUAUCGAUUCUGGAUACAAAGAAAAAUGCAAAGUGAAAGACCUUUGGAAAUUGCUAUUCACACCAGAGUACUCUAUGAGACAUUACAUAGGUGAUCAAGAAGAGUGAUCACCUGGCUGCACUUUAGGGUAUGUUUGUCCAGGUUUUUCUAAUAAGUUAAUUCUAAUCAAUAACUUUUGUUCUAAUUAGUAACUUUUGUAUAAAUGUUAAUGUUAAAUCGCGAAACAAUGUGGGAUGGGAUACUAAGUUCUCUCCAGGAACAUGAAAUGUCAGCCCAUUUAUUCACAUCUUUUUGUCCUCCCUAUUGUAUUGGUCCAGAUUUGUUGUUCAUCCUGACUGUAUGCUGUUUUUAGACAUUAGUUAUUUUUUAUGCUUUUGUCUAAACAAGCUCUGGCCGGGCGCCAUGGCUCACACCUGUAAUCCCAGGCCUUUGGGAGGCCGAGGUAGGCAGGUCACCUGAGGUGGAGAGUUUGAGACCAGCUUGACCAACACGGUUAAACCCUGUCUCUACUUUUAAAAAAAAUACAAAAAUUAGCCGGGCAUGGAGGCACACGUCAGUAAUCCCAGCUGCUUGGGAGGCUGUGGCACGAGAAUCACUUGAACUCAAGAGGCGGAGGUUGCAGUGAGCUGAAAUUGCCCCACUGCACUCCAGUCUGGGUGACAGAGCGAGAUUCCGCCUCAAAAAAAAAAAAAAAAAAAAAAAAGGCCGGGCGCGGUGGCUCACGCCUGUAAUCCCAGCACUUUGGGAGGCCGAGGCGGGCGGAUCACGAGGUCAGGAGAUCGAGACCAUCCUGGCUAACAUGGUGAAACCCCGUCUCUACUAAGAAUACAAAAAAAAAAAAAAAUUAGCCGGGCGUGAUGGCGGGCGCCUGUAGUCCCAGCUGCUGGGAAGGCUGAAGCAGGAGAAUGGCGUGAACCCGGGAGGCGGAGCUUGCAGUGAGCCGAGAUCACGCUGCUGGCUGGGCGCAGUGGUUCAAGCCUGUAAUCCCAGUACUUUGGACGGCCAAGGCGGGCGGAUCACCUGAGGUCAGGAGUUCGAGACCAGCCUGGCCAACAUGGUGAAACCCUGUCUCUACUAAAAAUACAAAAAUUAGCCAGGAGUGAUGGUGCACACCUGUAAUCCCAGCUACCCGGGAGGCUGAGGCAGGAGAAUCGCUGGAACCUGAGAGGCCGAGGCUGCAGUGAGCCGAGAUUGUGCCACUGCACUCUAGCCUGGGUUAACAGAGUGAGACUCUAUCACAAAAAAAAAAAAAAAAAAAGGAAAAAAAAGAGUAGGUUAGGCUUUGAGUACAUCAAGAGGCUGGGAAAUGGGUUUUGCUAGCUAAGAAAGUAACAAAGACAUUUUCUCUUUUCUGUGACUGUGGCUAAGACUAGUCCUGUCCUGUCUUUGCCAUAAACUAUGUGGGAAAUGGCUUUCCUUCACAAAAUGAGUCCCUAAAGAGAAGGGAGACUGAUGGCCAUCUCUCUCCAUGUGGCCUGAAGAGCCAGGAGGUAGGAAUAAGGGGAGUCAAGCAAGGCCUUAACCAGACUCUAAUACGCAAGCUGGCCCUGUUGCCUUGGGAAGAAUGUGGCUCCGGUGAGUAGCAGCAGGUAGAGGUGUAUAAUCUGGGAUAUGUGCAGCUCUGAUGCCUUCCGUUUUAGAAAGGACUCUGCUUUGCUCUGGCCUUUAAUUUAUGCCACAUAGGCACAGGGGCUACAUAACAUAGUGGUUUACAGCAAGGAUUUGGGAUCCAGACUGGCCAGAUUUGAACUCCAGCACUAUUCCUUGAUACCUCUGAAACUUGGGACAAGUAACUUAGUCACUAUGUAUGAAAAGAGAUAAUAAUACUAGUACCUUCCUCAUACUACAAGACUACAAGAUGUGGUCAAGACCAGAAAUAUAUAAGCACUGUAAAAACAAUGUAAAACCAAAUGAAAAUUCUUCAUUUGUAUCUU